CGGGUAGAGUAAUACAUCGGAACGUGCCCUGUAGUGGGGGAGUAACUAGUCGAAAGAUUAGCUAAUACCGCAUACGACCUGAGGGUGAAAGUGGGGACCGCAAGGCCUCAUGCUAUAGGAGCGGCCGAUGUCUGAUUAGCUAGUUGGUGGGGUAAAGGCCUACCAAGGCGACGAUCAGUAGCUGGUCUGAGAGGACGAUCAGCCACACUGGGACUGAGACACGGCCCAGACUCCUACGGGAGGCAGCAGCC
This 251-nucleotide ribosomal RNA is filed under the name uncultured Ralstonia sp. RNAcentral's name for it is "partial 16S ribosomal RNA". It matches the Rfam family "Bacterial small subunit ribosomal RNA", at positions 100 to 355 of the family's 1533-position model. The record is from RNAcentral. Lineage: Bacteria; Pseudomonadati; Pseudomonadota; Betaproteobacteria; Burkholderiales; Burkholderiaceae.